Molecule: ribosomal RNA, 557 nt
Filed under: uncultured bacterium
Lineage: Bacteria
Description: bacterial SSU rRNA
Rfam family: Bacterial small subunit ribosomal RNA
Source: RNAcentral
ACGGGUGCGCAAUAUAUAGGAACAUACCCUUUGGUGGGGGAUAACGCCGGGAAACUGGUGCUAAUACCGCAUAAGCCCGAGAGGGGAAAGAUUUAUUGCCAGAGGAAUGGCCUAUAUCAGAUUAGAUAGUUGGUGAGGUAAAGGCUCACCAAGUCUGUGAUCUGUAGCUGAUCUGAGAGGAUGAUCAGCCACACUGGGACUGAGACACGGCCCAGACUCCUACGGGAGGCAGCAGUGGGGAAUAUUGGACAAUGGGGGAAACCCUGAUCCAGCAAUGCCGCGUGUAUGAUGAAGGUCUUCGGAUUGUAAAGUACUUUUAUUGGUGACGAUGAUGACGGUAACCAAUGAAUAAGCUCCGGCUAACUUCGUGCCAGCAGCCGCGGUAAUACGAAGGGAGCUAGCGUUGUUCGGAAUAACUGGGCGUAAAGGGUGCGUAGGUGGGUGUGUGCGUUAGAUGUGAAAUCCCCGGGCUUAACCUGGGAACUGCAUUUAAUACGGCACAUCUAGAGUGCGAGAGGGGAAAGCGGAAUGGCGAGUGGAGCAGUGAAAUGCAUUGA